AGAGUUUGAUCCUGGCUCAGAGUGAACGCUGGCGGUAGGCCUAACACAUGCAAGUCGAACGGCAGCACAGGAGAGCUUGCUCUCUGGGUGGCGAGUGGCGGACGGGUGAGGAAUACAUCGGAAUCUACCUUUUCGUGGGGGAUAACGUAGGGAAACUUACGCUAAUACCGCAUAAGACCUUCGGGUGAAAGCCGGGGACCUUCGGGCCUGGCGCGGAUAGAUGAGCCGAUGUCGGAUUAGCUAGUUGGCGGGGUAAAGGCCCACCAAGGCGACGAUCCGUAGCUGGUCUGAGAGGAUGAUCAGCCACACUGGAACUGAGACACGGUCCAGACUCCUACGGGAGGCAGCAGUGGGGAAUAUUGGACAAUGGGCGCAAGCCUGAUCCAGCCAUACCGCGUGGGUGAAGAAGGCCUUCGGGUUGUAAAGCCCUUUUGUUGGGAAAGAAAUCCUGCGGAUUAAUACCCGGCAGGGAUGACGGUACCCAAAGAAUAAGCACCGGCUAACUUCGUGCCAGCAGCCGCGGUAAUACGAAGGGUGCAAGCGUUACUCGGAAUUACUGGGCGUAAAGCGUGCGUA
This 576-nucleotide ribosomal RNA is filed under the name uncultured bacterium. RNAcentral's name for it is "bacterial SSU rRNA". It matches the Rfam family "Bacterial small subunit ribosomal RNA", at positions 8 to 573 of the family's 1533-position model. The record is from RNAcentral.